This 301-nucleotide ribosomal RNA is filed under the name uncultured bacterium. RNAcentral describes it as "partial 16S ribosomal RNA". It matches the Rfam family "Bacterial small subunit ribosomal RNA", at positions 512 to 810 of the family's 1533-position model. The record is from RNAcentral.
CAGCCACGGGAAUACGGAGGGUGCAAGCGUUAAUCGGAAUUACUGGGCGUAAAGCGCACGCAGGCGGUUAUAUAAGACAGAUGUGAAAUCCCCGGGCUCAACCUGGGAACUGCAUUUGUGACUGUAUAGCUAGAGUACGGCAGAGGGGGAUGGAAUUCCGCGUGUAGCAGUGAAAUGCGUAGAUAUGCGGAGGAACACCGAUGGCGAAGGCAAUCCCCUGGGCCUGUACUGACGCUCAUGCACGAAAGCGUGGGGAGCAAACAGGAUUAGAUACCCGCGUAGUCCCUGUCUCUUAUACACA